RNAcentral lists this transfer RNA (91 nucleotides) under Pilimelia anulata. Its description in RNAcentral is "tRNA-Thr". Lineage: Bacteria; Bacillati; Actinomycetota; Actinomycetes; Micromonosporales; Micromonosporaceae. The record is from RNAcentral.
CGUGCUGAUCGAGUUCGGCGCGUUCGCGGCGCUGGUGGCGCUGCGCGGCGCGGCCGGCGACGGCGGCACGAUCGAGUCGUACCGGGGCGCC